RNAcentral lists this ribosomal RNA (494 nucleotides) under uncultured bacterium. Its description in RNAcentral is "bacterial SSU rRNA". It matches the Rfam family "Bacterial small subunit ribosomal RNA", at positions 899 to 1397 of the family's 1533-position model. The record is from RNAcentral.
ACUCAAAGGAAUUGACGGGACCCCGCACAAGCGGUGGAUCAUGUUGUUUAAUUCGAAGAUACGCGAAAAACCUUACCAGGUCUUGACAUACUAUGCAAAGGCUAAGAGAUUAGUACGGAGGUUAACAUAGAUACAGGUGGUGCAUGGUUGUCGUCAGCUCGUGUCGUGAGAUGUUGGGUUAAGUCCCGCAACGAGCGCAACCCUUAUUGCUAGUUACCAUCAUUAAGUUGGGGACUCUAGCGAGACUGCCAGUGAUAAACUGGAGGAAGGUGGGGAUGACGUCAAAUCAUCAUGCCCCUUAUGACCUGGGCUACAAACGUGAUACAAUGGCGAAAACAAAGGGAAGCGAAGCAGUGAUGUGAAGCAAAACUCAAAAAAGUCGUCUCAGUUCGGAUUGGAGUCUGCAACUCGACUCCAUGAAGUGGGAAUCGCUAGUAAUCGCAGAUCAGCAUGCUGCGGUGAAUACGUUCUCGGGGUUUGUACACACCGCCCGU